This 406-nucleotide ribosomal RNA is filed under the name uncultured bacterium. Its description in RNAcentral is "partial 16S ribosomal RNA". It matches the Rfam family "Bacterial small subunit ribosomal RNA", at positions 30 to 526 of the family's 1533-position model. The record is from RNAcentral.
AUUGAACGCUGGCGGCAGGCCUAACACAUGCAAGUCGAACGAGUGGCGGACGGGUGAGUAAUGUCUGGGAAACUGCCUGAUGGAGGGGGAUAACUACUGGAAACGGUAGCUAAUACCGCAUACCAUCAGAUGUGCCCAGAUGGGAUUAGCUUGUUGGUGGGGUAACGGCUUACCAAGGCGACGAUCCCUAGCUGGUCUGAGAGGAUGACCAGCCACACUGUAACUGAGCCACGGUCAAGACUCAUACGGGAGGCAGAAGUGGGGAAUAGUGCACAACGGGCGCAAGCCUGAUGCAGCCAUGCCGCGUGUAUGAAGAAGGACUUCGGGUUGUAAAGUACUUUCAGAGGGGAGGCGUUACCCGCACAAGAAGCUCCGGCUAACUCCCUGCCAGCCGCCGCGGUAAUAC